CGUAGGGUGCGAGCGUUAAUCGGAAUUACUGGGCGUAAAGUGUGCGCAGGCGGCCAUGCAAGUCGAGUGUGAAAGCCCCGGGCUUAACUUGGGAAUUGCGCUCGAAACUACGUGGCUGGAGUGUGGCAGAGGAAGGUGGAAUUCCACGUGUAGCGGUGAAAUGCGUAGAGAUGUGGAGGGACACCAAUGGCGAAGGCAGCCUUCUGGGCCAACACUGACGCUCAUGCACGAAAGCGUGGGGAGCAAACAGGAUUAGAUACCCUGGUAGUCCACGCCCUAAACGAUGACGACUAGUUGUUGGAGGAGUUAAAUCCUUUAGUAACGCAGCUAACGCGCGAAGUCGUCCGCCUGGGGAGUACGGUCGCAAGAUUA
This 372-nucleotide ribosomal RNA is filed under the name uncultured organism. RNAcentral's name for it is "bacterial SSU rRNA". It matches the Rfam family "Bacterial small subunit ribosomal RNA", at positions 526 to 896 of the family's 1533-position model. The record is from RNAcentral.